UUUUUUUUUUUUCCGCCGUGGUUCUCUCUGAAACUUGUUUGAAAACCCAAGCGAAAACCGCGACGACCUGCACGCUCGAAAGCGAGUCCCAAUUCCUGACCACCACGGCUUUAAGACUGUCCUUCAGCUGGGAGGGAGAUCCGUUGCUUUAAGACUAGCCUGGUAAGGAGCCUUGUUUUGUGGUCUGUUGAAGUGGCGGCUGAGUGGGGGGGGGGGUUG
This 219-nucleotide long non-coding RNA is filed under the name Dasypus novemcinctus (nine-banded armadillo). RNAcentral's name for it is "lncRNA (ENSDNOG00000050251.1)". Lineage: Eukaryota; Metazoa; Chordata; Mammalia; Cingulata; Dasypodidae. The record is from RNAcentral.